AGAAAUCAUCAUUAAUAAUAAUCUUCAGCCCUUCUCGAUGGAGAAGGGCUUUCUUAGUACCAAAAAAAACCGGGGGCAUCGUGCCUCCGGUUUUACUU
This 98-nucleotide non-coding RNA is filed under the name Paenibacillus illinoisensis. The record is from RNAcentral. Lineage: Bacteria; Bacillati; Bacillota; Bacilli; Caryophanales; Paenibacillaceae.